RNAcentral lists this small nuclear RNA (107 nucleotides) under Catagonus wagneri (Chacoan peccary). Lineage: Eukaryota; Metazoa; Chordata; Mammalia; Artiodactyla; Tayassuidae. The record is from RNAcentral.
GUGCUCAGUUCAGCAGUACAUAUACAAAAAAUGGAAUGAUACAGAGAAGAUUAGCGUGGCCCCUGCACAAGGACGACAUGCAAAUACAUGAAGAAGUCCAUAUUUUU